GAUCAUGGCUCAGAUUGAACGCUGGCGGCAGGCCUAACACAUGCAAGUCGAACGGUAACAGGAAGCAGCUUGCUGCUUCGCUGACGAGUGGCGGACGGGUGAGUAAUGUCUGGGAAACUGCCUGAUGGAGGGGGAUAACUACUGGAAACGGUAGCUAAUACCGCAUAACGUCGCAAGACCAAGAGGGGACCGUCGGCGUCUUGCCACUCGGAGUGUGCCCACGAUGGGAGUUAGU
Molecule: ribosomal RNA, 235 nt
Filed under: uncultured bacterium
Lineage: Bacteria
Description: partial 16S ribosomal RNA
Rfam family: Bacterial small subunit ribosomal RNA
Source: RNAcentral